ACAGCAGCCGCCGCGGUAACACAGAGGAUGCAAGCGAUAUCCGGAAUGAUUGGGCGUAAAGCGCGCGCAGGUGGUUUAAUAAGUCUGAUGUGAAAGCCCACGGCUCAACCGGGGAGGGUCAUUGGAAACUGGGAAACUUGAGUGCAGAAGAGGAGAGUGGAAUUCCACGUGUAGCGGUGAAAUGCGUAGAGAUGUGGAGGAACACCAGUGGCGAAGGCGACUCUCUGGUCUGUAACUGACGCUGAGGAGCGAAAGCGUGGGGAACGAACAGGAUUAGAUACCCGCGUAGUCCCUGUCUCUUAUAC
Molecule: ribosomal RNA, 305 nt
Filed under: uncultured bacterium
Lineage: Bacteria
Description: partial 16S ribosomal RNA
Rfam family: Bacterial small subunit ribosomal RNA
Source: RNAcentral